GUAAAAAAAGAAGGGCAGCAUAUUAUGUAUAAAAAGGGAAAAGAGGGCAAACAUCAACUUCUUCUUCUUCUUCUUCUUCUUUAUCUU
RNAcentral lists this non-coding RNA (87 nucleotides) under Heterosigma akashiwo. Lineage: Eukaryota; Raphidophyceae; Chattonellales; Chattonellaceae. The record is from RNAcentral.